RNAcentral lists this ribosomal RNA (485 nucleotides) under uncultured bacterium. Its description in RNAcentral is "partial 16S ribosomal RNA". It matches the Rfam family "Bacterial small subunit ribosomal RNA", at positions 28 to 507 of the family's 1533-position model. The record is from RNAcentral.
GAUGAACGCUAGCGGCAGGCUUAACACAUGCAAGUCGAGGGGCAGCGCGGGAUAGCCAUAUCCUGGCGGCGACCGGCGGAAGGGUGCGUAACGCGUGAGCGACAUGCCCGUUGCCCGGGGACAACCGGUGGAAACGCCGACUAAUCCCCGAUGGGAUAUUGUGCCGCAUGGCACGAUAUUGAAAGUUACGGCGGCGACGGAUUGGCUCGCGUCCGAUUAGCUUGUUGGCGGGGUAACGGCCACCAAGGCUGCGAUCGGUAGGGGUUCUGAGAGGAAGGCCCCCCACAAUGGGACUGAGACACGGCCCAUACUCCUACGGGAGGCAGCAGUGAGGAAUAUUGGUCAAUGGGCGGAAGCCUGAACCAGCCAUGCCGCGUGCGGGAAGGAGGCCCUAUGGGCUGUGAACCGCUUUUGCCUGGGGGCAAUAAGGGCGUCGCGCACGUCCGAUGAGAGUACCAGGCGAAUAAGCAUCGGCUAACUCCGUG